RNAcentral lists this RNase P RNA (361 nucleotides) under Clostridiales bacterium. RNAcentral's name for it is "RNase P RNA component class A". It matches the Rfam family "Bacterial RNase P class A". Rfam says of the family: Ribonuclease P (RNase P) is a ubiquitous endoribonuclease, found in archaea, bacteria and eukarya as well as chloroplasts and mitochondria. Its best characterised activity is the generation of mature 5'-ends of tRNAs by cleaving the 5'-leader elements of precursor-tRNAs. The record is from RNAcentral. Lineage: Bacteria; Bacillati; Bacillota; Clostridia; Eubacteriales.
AUGGGAGACGGGGGAGCCGCGCGGCAUGUUGCCGAAAGGUAUUGCCGUGAGGAAAGUCCGGGCUUCGAAGGGCAAGGAUAACGGAUAACGUCCGCCGGGGGAAACCCCAGGGAAAGUGCAACAGAAAGCAAACCGCCUCUUUUUGAGGUAAGGCUGAAACGGUGAGGUAAGAGCUCACCCGUCGCCCGGGUAACCGGGAGGCGCGGUAAACCCUAUCCGAAGCAACACCGCAGGCGGGGCAAGAGGCUUGCCCGGCCCGUCCCCGCGGGUGGCACAGAACGGCGCGGCAACGCGUCUGUCAAGAUAGAUGGUUCCCGCUUCGCAAGAAGCACAGAACCCGGCUUACAAGUUUCCCUAAUAA